RNAcentral lists this non-coding RNA (122 nucleotides) under uncultured Dysosmobacter sp. RNAcentral's name for it is "FMN riboswitch (RFN element)". It matches the Rfam family "FMN riboswitch aptamer (RFN element)". Rfam says of the family: The RFN element is a highly conserved domain that is found frequently in the 5'-untranslated regions of prokaryotic mRNAs that encode for flavin mononucleotide (FMN) biosynthesis and transport proteins. This element is a metabolite-dependent riboswitch that directly binds FMN in the absence of proteins. Lineage: Bacteria; Bacillati; Bacillota; Clostridia; Eubacteriales; Oscillospiraceae. The record is from RNAcentral.
UGUCUUCAGGGCGGGGCGAAAUUCCCCACCGGCGGUAUAGUCCGCGAGCGGCUCCCUCGGGAGUGUCAGCUGACCCGUUGCAACUACGGGACCGACAGUCACAGUCUGGAUGGAAGAAGAUG